CGCGGCCUAUCAGCUUGUUGGUGAGGUAACGGCUCACCAAGGCGAUGACGGGUAGCUGGUCUCAGCGGAUGGCCAGCCACACGGGGACUGAGACACGGCCCCGACUCCUACGGGAGGCAGCAGUGGGGAAUCUUGGACAAUGGGCGAAAGCCUGAUCCAGCGACGCCGCGUGCGGGAGGAAGCUCUUCGGGGUGUAAACCGCUGUCAGGGGGGAAGAAUCCGGUCCGGUCGAACAGGCCGGGUCGUUGACGGUACCCUCAGAGGAAGCGCCGGCUAACUCCGUGCCAGCAGCCGCGGUAAUACGGAGGGCGCGAGCGUUGUUCGGAAUUACUGGGCGUAAAGGGGGCGCAGGCGGCCCGUUAAGUCCCAUGUGAAAGCCCACGGCUCAACCGUGGAGUGCCAUGGGAUACUGGCGGGCUUGAGACGGGUAGAGGCGAGCGGAAUUCCCGGUGUAGCGGUGGAAUGCGUAGAUAUCGGGAAGAACACCAGUGGCGAAGGCGGCUCGCUGGGCCCGUUCUGACGCUCAGGCCCGAAAGCGUGGGGAGCAAACAGGAUUAGAUACCCUGGUAGUCCACGCCGUAAACGAUGGGCACUAGGUGCUGGGGAGUGUGACCUCUUCGGUGCCGCAGCUAACGCGUUAAGUGCCCCGCCUGGGGAGUACGG
RNAcentral lists this ribosomal RNA (663 nucleotides) under uncultured actinomycete. Its description in RNAcentral is "bacterial SSU rRNA". It matches the Rfam family "Bacterial small subunit ribosomal RNA", at positions 232 to 885 of the family's 1533-position model. Lineage: Bacteria; Bacillati; Actinomycetota; Actinomycetes; Actinomycetales. The record is from RNAcentral.